This 1029-nucleotide ribosomal RNA is filed under the name Triticum aestivum (bread wheat). RNAcentral describes it as "partial small subunit ribosomal RNA". The record is from RNAcentral. Lineage: Eukaryota; Viridiplantae; Streptophyta; Magnoliopsida; Poales; Poaceae.
AUGGAUUGCAUUCUAUCUGUGAUAAGAUACAAGAUGUCAAACAGAGCCACACAUUGGUGUUAUGCCUGCCGUCGGCCAAUUCGUCUUCGUGGCCAAGAGAUAAUCUGCCCGAAUUGCAAUGAUGGCUUCAUACAAGAGAUCAGUGAGAUAGGAGGCGCUUUGAACAACUACGGUAUGUUUGGGCCACGCUUCGAUGAUCGCCUAGAUGGACGAUUUGGAAUGAUGGAUGCUAUGUCUGCCCUCAUGCGUCGACGGAUGGCAGAAAUGAGCAGCAAUCCUGUGUUUGAUCCUAAUGCAGCUUGGGCAAGUACCACACAAGGAAGGCCGUCCCCGAUUGGCCCUAGGCUGAUAUUCGGCAGCAACAUGCCUGCUCAGGGGAGCGAGGACAGCGGAGUAAACGUGCUUGUCAGGGGAGGCCGCAGAAUCGGCGCUGACCGUCCAAACUUCAGCGGCUUCCUUGUCGGUGGCCCCAGCCUCGAAGCUCUGUUCGAGCAGCUGCUACUGCAGACCGGCAACCGUCAAGGGCCGGCGCCGGCUCCACAGUCUGCAAUCGACUCCAUGCCGGUGGUGAGGAUAACCCGCAGGCAUCUGAGCGAUGAUCCAGUCUGCCCAGUCUGUACGGACAGAUUUGAAGUUGGCUCGGAGGCGAGGGAGAUGCCGUGCAAGCACCUGUACCAUGCCAGCUGCAUCAUCCCCUGGUUGGUUCAGCACAACUCCUGCCCAGUUUGCCGCCACCCGCUGCCGCCGCAGCGAGGAUCAGACAACAAUGCAGCCCGCCCACAACCUUCGGCCCACGCCAGCGAAGCCGUGAACCGUGGGGUCACCGGUGCCGGAGCCGACCCUGGGCCUGUCACGAGGAACGGCGGCGACGACAGAGGGAGCCCUUUCUCGUUCCUCUGGCCGUUUGGGUCGUCGAGCCCCGGUCCCAGUUCUUACCAGUACGGAGGAGGCGGGGGUGAGCCUGCGCCUGCGGUUUACAACGACGACCCUGGCCAGAUAACCUACUCUGAGUGGCACUAUGAUCCGUGA